Molecule: ribosomal RNA, 424 nt
Filed under: uncultured bacterium
Lineage: Bacteria
Description: partial 16S ribosomal RNA
Rfam family: Bacterial small subunit ribosomal RNA
Source: RNAcentral
AAUAUUGGACAAUGGGCGAAAGCCUGAUCCAGCCAUCCCGCGUGUAUGAUGAAGGCCUUCGGGUUGUAAAGUACUUUUGGCAGAGAAGAAAAGGUAUCCCUUAAUACGAGAUACUGCUGACGGUAUCUGCAGAAUAAGCACCGGCCAACUACGUGCCAGCAGCCGCGGUAAUACGUAGGGUGCAAGCGUUAAUCGGAAUUACUGGGCGUAAAGAGUGUGUAGGCGGUUCGAAAAGAAAGAUGUGAAAUACCAGGGCUCAACCUUGGAACAGCAUUUUUAACUGCCGAGCUAGAGUAUGUCAGAGAGGGGUAGAAUUCCACGUGUAGCAGUGAAAUGCGUAGAUAUAUGGAGGAAAACCGAUGGCGAAGGCAGCCCCCUGGGAUAAUACUGACGCUCAGACACGAAAGAGUGGGGAGCAAACAGG